RNAcentral lists this ribosomal RNA (464 nucleotides) under uncultured bacterium. Its description in RNAcentral is "partial 16S ribosomal RNA". It matches the Rfam family "Bacterial small subunit ribosomal RNA", at positions 28 to 507 of the family's 1533-position model. The record is from RNAcentral.
GACGAACGCUGGCGGCGUGCUUAACACAUGCAAGUCGAACGGAAAGGCCCCUUUGGGGGUACUCGAGUGGCGAACGGGUGCGUAACACGUGAGUAACCUGCCCUUGACUUCGGGAUAACUUCAGGAAACUGGGGCUAAUACCGGAUAGGAAUCCUUGCUGCAUGGGGGGGGUUGGAAAGCUUCGGCGGUUUUGGAUGGACUCGCGGCUUAUCAGCUUGUUGGUGGGGUAGUGGCUUACCAAGGCUUUGACGGGUAGCCGGCCUGAGAGGGCGACCGGCCACAUUGGGACUGAGAUACGGCGCAGACGCCUACGGGAGGCAGCAGUGGGGAAUAUUGCACAAUGGGCGGAAGCCUGAUGCAGCAACGCCGCGUGCGGGAUGACGGCCUUCGGGUUGUAAACCGCUUUCAGCAGGGGCGAAGCUUUUGUGACGGUACCUGCAGAAGAAGCACCGGCUAACUACGUG